RNAcentral lists this ribosomal RNA (468 nucleotides) under uncultured bacterium. Its description in RNAcentral is "partial 16S ribosomal RNA". It matches the Rfam family "Bacterial small subunit ribosomal RNA", at positions 28 to 507 of the family's 1533-position model. The record is from RNAcentral.
GAUGAACGCUGGCGGCGUGCUUAACACAUGCAAGUCGAACGGUGAAGGCGGAGCUUGCUCUGCUGGAUCAGUGGCGAACGGGUGAGUAACACGUGAGCAAUCUGCCCCUGACUCUGGGAUAAGCGCUGGAAACGGCGUCUAAUACUGGAUACGAGCUGCGAAGGCAUCUUCAGCAGCUGGAAAGAAUUUCGGUCAGGGAUGAGCUCGCGGCCUAUCAGCUUGUUGGUGAGGUAAUGGCUCACCAAGGCGUCGACGGGUAGCCGGCCUGAGAGGGCGACCGGCCACACUGGGACUGAGACACGGCCCAGACUCCUACGGGAGGCAGCAGUGGGGAAUAUUGCACAAUGGGCGAAAGCCUGAUGCAGCAACGCCGCGUGAGGGACGACGGCCCUCGGGUUGUAAACCUCUUUUAGCAGGGAAGAAGCGAAAGUGACGGUACCUGCAGAAAAAGCGCCGGCUAACUACGUG